GACGAACGCUGGCGGCGUGCUUAACACAUGCAAGUCGAACGGAAAGGCCCUGCUUUUGUGGGGCGCUCGAGUGGCGAACGGGUGAGUAACACGUGAGUAACCUGCCCUUGUCUUUGGGAUAACUUUAGGAAACUGGGGCUCAUACCGGAUAGGAGCUCCUGCUGCAUGGUGGUGGUUGGAAAGUUUCGGCGGUUGGGGAUGGACUCGCGGCUUAUCAGCUUGUUGGUGGGGUAGUGGCUUACCAAGGCUUUGACGGGUAGCCGGCCUGAGAGGGUGACCGGCCACAUUGGGACUGAGAUACGGCCCAGACUCCUACGGGAGGCAGCAGUGGGGAAUAUUGCGCAAUGGGCGGAAGCCUGAUGCAGCGACGCCGCGUGCGGGAUGACGGCCUUCGGGUUGUAAACCGCUUUCGCCUGUGACGAAGCGUGAGUGACGGUAAUGGGUAAAGAAGCACCGGCUAACUACGUG
This 468-nucleotide ribosomal RNA is filed under the name uncultured bacterium. Its description in RNAcentral is "partial 16S ribosomal RNA". It matches the Rfam family "Bacterial small subunit ribosomal RNA", at positions 28 to 507 of the family's 1533-position model. The record is from RNAcentral.